UUAGAAACAUUGUUUGCAAGCUCGGUUGCUGAUGACAUGGAGCACGACGAAUUGGAAGACUCAAGUCAAAAUACCUAUGUCGACCAUGAUCCCUUGGACUAUGUGUACUCAAACCUCCCCGAUAGUACACACAUCCUCAAGCACACCACAAACUGGAACCACUGCAAGGCCAAGAAGUUUGUGUCCGAGGCCCCGGGAUUCUGCUGUCGCAAUGGGCAGAUCGAGCUGAAGCAAUCGGAGCCCAUCCCGGAGCUAAUGAGGCUUUGGUCUAGCCAGGAUGCGGACUCUAGGCAUUUUCGAGAGAACAUACGCUUCUUCAACGGCCACUUCUCCUUCACAACGCUCAGCGUCAGCCUGGAUGAAAGCUACACAAACAUGAAGUCUGGGGUGUACACCUUCCGGGCGCACGAUGAUACGUCUCCAACGUAUCUAUAA
RNAcentral lists this ribosomal RNA (435 nucleotides) under Triticum aestivum (bread wheat). Its description in RNAcentral is "partial small subunit ribosomal RNA". The record is from RNAcentral. Lineage: Eukaryota; Viridiplantae; Streptophyta; Magnoliopsida; Poales; Poaceae.